ACUUCGAUAUCACAACCACUUCGUUCAUAAGUUCCUCUAGUCCUUGUCCUGAUUUCCUUGAGAGCCUCUUGACUGCAAUUUCUUGUCCUUCUGGACCAAACCCGCCUUGACCGAGCUUGUUUCUGAGAGAGAAGCUAUCGGUUGCUGUAGCUAACACUUGAAACUCAAAGAGUGGAAGCUCCUUGAGCUUUAUUUGGUUAGAAGCAGACUCAUUAUCACUUGUAAGUGCUUCCAUUCUCUUAAACAUUAGCUCUGCACUUCUAUCUUUCGCUGGAGCUGCUAAGGCAAUGAUCAAUGAAGCAAACAAAUUAUGAUCAAUGUAACAAUCUGAAGCAAACAUUCAUGAGUAAACAAACUUCUAACCUGGACGCUU
Long non-coding RNA from Arabidopsis lyrata subsp. lyrata, 373 nucleotides. RefSeq lists it as uncharacterized. The record is from RefSeq and is a predicted model, not a curated record. NCBI's taxonomy places the organism in Eukaryota, Viridiplantae, Streptophyta, Magnoliopsida, Brassicales, Brassicaceae. The transcript is spliced from 2 exons.